GACGAACGCUGGCGGCGUGCUUAACACAUGCCAGUCGAACGGAAAGGCCCUGCUUUUGUGGGGUGCUCGAGUGGCGAACGGGUGAGUAACACGUGAGUAACCUGCCCUUGACUGUGGGAUAACUUCAGGAAACUGGGGCUAAUACCGGAUAGGAGCUCCUGCUGCAUGGUGGGGGUUGGAAAGUUUCGGCGGUUGGGGAUGGACUCGCGGCUUAUCAGCUUGUUGGUGGGGUAGUGGCUUACCAAGGCUUUGACGGGUAGCCGGCCUGAGAGGGUGGCCGGCCACAUUGGGACUGAGAGACGGCCCAGACUCCUACGGGAGGCAGCAGUGGGGAAUAUUGCACAAUGGGCGGAAGCCUGAUGCAGCAACGCCGCGUGCGGGAUGACGGCCUUCGGGUUGUAAACCGCUUUCGCCUGUGACGAAGCGUGAGUGACGGUAAUGGGUAAAGAAGCACCGGCUAACUACGUG
RNAcentral lists this ribosomal RNA (468 nucleotides) under uncultured bacterium. RNAcentral's name for it is "partial 16S ribosomal RNA". It matches the Rfam family "Bacterial small subunit ribosomal RNA", at positions 28 to 507 of the family's 1533-position model. The record is from RNAcentral.